RNAcentral lists this long non-coding RNA (1607 nucleotides) under Anolis carolinensis (green anole). RNAcentral describes it as "lncRNA (ENSACAG00000044593.1)". Lineage: Eukaryota; Metazoa; Chordata; Lepidosauria; Squamata; Anolidae. The record is from RNAcentral.
AGGACCUCAGUGUCUCGGUGGAACCCGGCGCUUACCUCCAAGGCGAAGCCAUCCGGAUCCAGGCCUCCCUCCAGGCAGAAGCCGGGUUCUUCCCGAAACUGUUCAUAGACAGAUGCUACGUGCUGGACAACCCACAACAGAGCCAGUCCCGGGCACUCUUCUUCAUUGUGGACAACCAUGGGUGAGCUGGGCGGCACUGGGAGGCCACCCUCAGAGCUGGGGCAGGGAGAAAGCAGGCCUCCGAGCUGGAGAAAGGGGACAUUCAUAGAUAUCUUGGAGCUGGAGAAGGGAGAAAGUGGACCUCAGAGCUAUGGAAAGGAGAAAGUAGGCCUUUCUCAGAGCUAGAGAAGGGAAAAAGCAGGAAGUCUUCUUGUAGCAGGAGAAAGGAGGCCUCCUCAGAGCUGGGGAAGGGGGAAGGCAGCAGUCCCAACAGUCUAGUUGGUAUCUAUCAGUAUACGUCUGACCAAUCCCAAGGUUAUCCAUUCAUCCUUUGGACAAAACUGGACUCUCCUGGAGGAUGUCCUUCCCAUUGGGACUCCUUUCUGCUGCUCGGAUGGAUGUCCUUUCCACUUUGGAACCAUUUCUGGGGUGAAGUGACCCCUGGUUUUGCCCCGCAGGUGCCUCUACCCCGGCAACUUGAAGGCGGCCUGGUUCCGUCAAGAGGACCCGGCCGUGGUGCUGACCAUGCAGACCCGCGCUUUCUGGCUGGAUGACAAAACCCCCGAGGUAGGCACGAGGCGGGCAGGUGUCCCUCCCAAUGGGCCGCAGCUCCCCAGACACCCCUCGUUUUGCUAAGCCGAGAUGCCAAAGUGGUGUGUGUUGGGGUUUCUUCCGCCAGAUCCAUGUUCAUUGUUUACUUGCGGCCUGGAGUCAGAAGAGCCCAGCCAGUCCUGGGAAGAAGACCUGCUCCUACAACGUCACCUCAGCCCUGUGAGUUCUGCUUUCUCUCUCCCUUCUCCAGCCUUGAGAAGGAGGCCUCCUUCCUCCCUUCCCCAGCUCUGUCUUACCAAACGCUCUUCUCUCCUAGAUGGAAGAACGUGGAUGAGCCCUCUCGUCCCUCGGUCUGCCUCUGCUGCCAUGGCGUCUGCCCCUCGGAGCCCGGUCCCCUUGACCAUCCCCAAGGUGCCUCGGCCUUGGCCUCCUCCUGCUCAGCCCAACUCCGCCAGCCCCCCCAACCGCCCUCCGCCAGCCCCCCCAACCGCCCUCUUGCUCUCUUUCCUUGCAGGCUUUGUGGGCAAAGGGCAGCUCCACUGGGUGGCCCUGGGUCCUCUGCACCUAAGGAAGGAAGGGCUGCCCUGGUUGGAAGGGCACGGCCAGACGGUGAAGAAGCUGCUGGUGGUGAGCGCGGUCUUUGUGGGCAGCUGCGUGCUGGGCACCCUCGUGGCCCUGGGCCUGGCCCUCUUCCACCACCUGCGCCACAGCAGGAAAUACUGGCUGCUGAGUGGGGACCGGGCCGAGCACAUGGAGCUGCAGACGCUGGCCGGGGCCCUGGCCAUCAGAGAGGAGAUCGAGCAGGAGUCCCCCCUCAACUAGUGCAAGCUCCAGAACAACAGCCCCAAAAAGGACACCUGAGGAGGAGGAGGACUGCAUCCCAGAAGUGUCAAUAA